AAGAUUUUAAGUUAAUUAAACUAAUAACCUUCAAAGUUUUAAAUAAAAAUUUGUUUUUAAAUCUUA
This 66-nucleotide transfer RNA is filed under the name Neodiprion lecontei (redheaded pine sawfly). RNAcentral's name for it is "tRNA-Trp". Lineage: Eukaryota; Metazoa; Arthropoda; Insecta; Hymenoptera; Diprionidae. RNAcentral also lists the same sequence under 2 other names. The record is from RNAcentral.